UGUUGGUUUCAGUACAAAUAAUAUGCUGUCUAAGUAAUACAUCUAACUAAAGUGACAAAAAGACCCUUUGAAGCUUUAUAGGGAUAAAACUUUGAUUGCAUUUUAUUAGCUUAGGCCGCUCAAAGAUCUAUAUCUGAGGUGUGCCUUAAUAAAUUUAUUUAUUGGUCUUGCCU
Molecule: ribosomal RNA, 173 nt
Filed under: Symbiodinium sp. clade D
Lineage: Eukaryota; Dinophyceae; Suessiales; Symbiodiniaceae
Description: Durusdinium sp. clade D partial large subunit ribosomal RNA
Source: RNAcentral